UGGUGGAGUGAUUUGUCUGGUUAAUUCCGUUAACGAACGAGACCUUAACCCGCUAAAUAGUUACAUGUAAUUUCGAUUAUGUGGGCAACUUCUUAGAGGGGCUUUGUGUGCAUAAUGCGAGGAAGUUUGAGGCAAUAACA
Molecule: ribosomal RNA, 140 nt
Filed under: uncultured eukaryote
Lineage: Eukaryota
Description: partial 18S ribosomal RNA
Rfam family: Eukaryotic small subunit ribosomal RNA
Source: RNAcentral